AGAGUUUGAUCCUGGCUCAGAGCGAACGCUGGCGGCAGGCCUAACACAUGCAAGUCGAACGAAGUCUUCGGACUUAGUGGCGGACGGGUGAGUAACACGUGGGAACGUGCCUUUAGGUUCGGAAUAACUCAGGGAAACUUGUGCUAAUACCGAAUGUGCCCUUCGGGGGAAAGAUUUAUCGCCUUUAGAGCGGCCCGCGUCUGAUUAGCUAGUUGGUGAGGUAAAGGCUCACCAAGGCGACGAUCAGUAGCUGGUCUGAGAGGAUGAUCAGCCACAUUGGGACUGAGACACGGCCCAAACUCCUACGGGAGGCAGCAGUGGGGAAUUUUGCACAAUGGGCGAAAGCCUGACGCAGCAACGCCGCGUGAGUGAUGAAGGCCUUCGGGUCGUAAAGCUCUGUCAGAGGGGAAGAACCGCCGGGUGGCUAAUACCUGCCUGGUCUGACGGUACCCUCAAAGGAAGCACCGGCUAACUCCGUGCCAGCAGCCGCGGUAAUACGGAGGGUGCAAGCGUUGUUCGGAAUUAUUGGGCGUAAAGCGCGUGUAGGCGGUUUGUUAAGUCUGGUGUGAAAGCCCUGGGCUCAACCUGGGAAGUGCAUUGGAUACUGGCAAACUUGAGUACGGGAGAGGAUAGUGGAAUUUCGAGUGUAGGGGUGAAAUCCGUAGAUAUUCGAAGGAACACCGGUGGCGAAGGCGGCUAUCUGGACCGAUACUGACGCUGAGACGCGAAAGCGUGGGGAGCAAACAGGAUUAGAUACCCUGGUAGUCC
This 768-nucleotide ribosomal RNA is filed under the name uncultured bacterium. RNAcentral describes it as "bacterial SSU rRNA". It matches the Rfam family "Bacterial small subunit ribosomal RNA", at positions 8 to 796 of the family's 1533-position model. The record is from RNAcentral.